RNAcentral lists this transfer RNA (77 nucleotides) under Candidatus Saccharimonadota bacterium. RNAcentral describes it as "tRNA-His". It matches the Rfam family "tRNA". From Rfam's summary of the family: Transfer RNA (tRNA) molecules are approximately 80 nucleotides in length. Their secondary structure includes four short double-helical elements and three loops (D, anti-codon, and T loops). RNAcentral also lists the same sequence under 1 other name. The record is from RNAcentral. Lineage: Bacteria; Candidatus Saccharimonadota.
GCGGAUAUAGCUCAGUAGGUUAGAGCGCUGGAUUGUGGCUCCGGAGGCCGUGGGUUCAAAUCCCAUUAUUCGCCCCA